UACCCCCACACUGACCAGCCCACCUCAGCUCCUGGGGAGGAUCCCAGCUCCUAUUCCCUCAGGGAGGGGGCAGUCUGUGGGCCCAGAACCCAACCCAAGACAACAGCCCCCCUCCCAGUCUGAACCCACUGCUAAGUGUACCUUCCAAGCCCAAGCUGUGACCUUCCUCUCUCCAAAGCUCCAGAAAAGGAAUGAAAUCUGAACAUUGAGACGCUUUUCUGGCCCUAAACAAUCCUUCCAUUCUCUAGGCUCAAUGAUGGGUCUAUUCCCUCCUGUAAAUGGGUCUCGUAAUCUUCAACUUUUACCUUUGCUUCUAAGGGAUGAGGAGAAACAGUAAGGUUCGAGCGCAGGGCAGCUUGAGGACAUCCAGGCUGGAGGUGAGGGUAAGACGCAUGAAGGCCGGCUGGCAGAGAGACUGCCGUGGUAGUGGUAGGUCAUGCAAGCAGGAAGCUGAGCCCCUCAGAGGCUGGUGGUUCCUAGUGGCGGUGAUCUUGGCUGACGCCUCUGCUCUUCGAAGGCCGGAAGGACAUCACAGGCCUGUCUGAGGCCCCCGCAGUACCUCAGCCAGCAGACGGCAUAUGGGCUCUCGUGGCCACAUGAAGUCACACUAGUGAUUCGCUACCAAGAGAGGGGACUGUGAGAGCAGCUCUCCUUGCUAAGAGGAAGUCUCUGUCACUGACAUUCUUGAGAAAGCAUAUGGUGAUAAUAAAAAGCAAACCAA
Molecule: non-coding RNA, 721 nt
Organism: Odocoileus virginianus texanus
Lineage: Eukaryota; Metazoa; Chordata; Mammalia; Artiodactyla; Cervidae
Source: RefSeq, a predicted model, not a curated record